UGAAAUGGUUCAAGUCUUACUUGCAACAG
RNAcentral lists this small RNA (29 nucleotides) under Bombyx mori (domestic silkworm). Its description in RNAcentral is "ovarian small RNA-30615". Lineage: Eukaryota; Metazoa; Arthropoda; Insecta; Lepidoptera; Bombycidae. The record is from RNAcentral.